GAUGAACGCUGGCAGCGUGCCUAAUACAUGCAAGUCGAGCGAACAGACGAGGAGCUUGCUCCUCUGACGUUAGCGGCGGACGGGUGAGUAACACGUGGAUAACCUACCUAUAAGACUGGGAUAACUUCGGGAAACCGGAGCUAAUACCGGAUAAUAUAUUGAACCGCAUGGUUCAAUAGUGAAAGACGGUUUUGCUGUCACUUAUAGAUGGAUCCGCGCCGCAUUAGCUAGUUGGUAAGGUAACGGCUUACCAAGGCAACGAUGCGUAGCCGACCUGAGAGGGUGAUCGGCCACACUGGAACUGAGACACGGUCCAGACUCCUACGGGAGGCAGCAGUAGGGAAUCUUCCGCAAUGGGCGAAAGCUUGACGGAGCAACGCCGCGUGAGUGAUGAAGGUCUUCGGAUCGUAAAACUCUGUUAUUAGGGAAGAACAAAUGUGUAAGUAACUAUGCACGUCUUGACGGUACCUAAUCAGAAAGCCACGGCUAACUACGUG
RNAcentral lists this ribosomal RNA (497 nucleotides) under uncultured bacterium. RNAcentral describes it as "partial 16S ribosomal RNA". It matches the Rfam family "Bacterial small subunit ribosomal RNA", at positions 28 to 507 of the family's 1533-position model. The record is from RNAcentral.